Molecule: ribosomal RNA, 907 nt
Filed under: Sporobolomyces ruberrimus
Lineage: Eukaryota; Fungi; Basidiomycota; Microbotryomycetes; Sporidiobolales; Sporidiobolaceae
Description: LSU rRNA
Rfam family: Eukaryotic large subunit ribosomal RNA
Source: RNAcentral
GCAUAUCAAUAAGCGGAGGAAAAGAAACUAACAAGGAUUCCCCUAGUAGCGGCGAGCGAAGCGGGAAAAGCUCAAAUUUGUAAUCUGGCGUCUUCGACGUCCGAGUUGUAAUCUCGAGAAGUGUUUUCCGUGAUAGACCGCAUACAAGUCUCUUGGAACAGAGCGUCAUAGUGGUGAGAACCCAGUACACGAUGCGGAUGCCUAUUACUUUGUGAUACACUUUCGAAGAGUCGAGUUGUUUGGGAAUGCAGCUCAAAUUGGGUGGUAAAUUCCAUCUAAAGCUAAAUAUUGGCGAGAGACCGAUAGCGAACAAGUACCGUGAGGGAAAGAUGAAAAGCACUUUGGAAAGAGAGUUAACAGUACGUGAAAUUGUUGGAAGGGAAACACAUGCAGUGAUACUUGCUAUUCGGGGCAACUCGAUUGGCAGGCCCGCAUCAGUUUUUCGGGGCGGAAAAGCGUAGAGAGAAGGUAGCAAUUUCGGUUGUGUUAUAGCUCUUUACUGGAUUCGCCCUGGGGGACUGAGGAACGCAGCGUGCUUUUAGCAAUUCCUUCGGGAAUUCCACGCUUAGGAUGCGGGUUUAUGGCUGUAUAUGACCCGUCUUGAAACACGGACCAAGGAGUCUAACAUGCUUGCGAGUAUUUGGGUGUCAAACCCGGAUGCGCAAUGAAAGUGAAUGGAGGUGGGAAGCGCAAGCUGCACCAUCGACCGAUCUGGAUUUUUUAAGAUGGAUUUGAGUAAGAGCAAGUAUGUUGGGACCCGAAAGAUGGUGAACUAUGCCUGAAUAGGGCGAAGCCAGAGGAAACUCUGGUGGAGGCUCGUAGCGGUUCUGACGUGCAAAUCGAUCGUCAAAUUUGGGUAUAGGGGCGAAAGACUAAUCGAACCAUCUAGUAGCUGGUUCCUGCCGAA